GAUGAACGAUAGCGGGAGGCCUAACACAUGCAAGCCGAGCGGUAUUGUUUCUUCGGAAAUGAGAGAGCGGCGUACGGGUGCGGAACACGUGUGCAACCUGCCUUUAUCUGGGGGAUAGCCAUUCGAAAGGAAGAUUAAUACUCCAUAAUAUAUUGAACGGCAUCGUUUAAUAUUGAAAGCUCCGGCGGAUAGAGAUGGGCACGCGCAAGAUUAGCUAGUUGGUGAGGUAACGGCUCACCAAGGCGAUGAUCUUUAGGGGGCCUGAGAGGGUGAUCCCCCACACUGGUACUGAGACACGGACCAGACUCCUACGGGAGGCAGCAGUGAGGAAUAUUGGGCAAUGGGUGCAAGCCUGAACCAGCCAUCCUGCGUGAAGGACGACUGCCCUAUGGGUUGUAAACUUCUUUUGUAUAGGGAUAAACCUACCCUCGAGAGGGUAGCUGAAGGUACUAUACGAAUAAGCACCGGCUAACUCCGUGCCAGCCGCCGCAGUAA
RNAcentral lists this ribosomal RNA (495 nucleotides) under uncultured bacterium. Its description in RNAcentral is "partial 16S ribosomal RNA". It matches the Rfam family "Bacterial small subunit ribosomal RNA", at positions 28 to 523 of the family's 1533-position model. The record is from RNAcentral.